This 642-nucleotide ribosomal RNA is filed under the name Triticum aestivum (bread wheat). Its description in RNAcentral is "partial small subunit ribosomal RNA". Lineage: Eukaryota; Viridiplantae; Streptophyta; Magnoliopsida; Poales; Poaceae. The record is from RNAcentral.
AUGACAGUACAACCUAUCAAUACCCUCAACUGGAACGUGAGAGGGCUUAAUUGCCCGGACCGUAGAGCAACUGUCAAGGCUACCAUCACUAGCACCUCUUGCCACUUGGUCUGUCUCCAGGAGACUAAAUUGAGCAACGUUGACAGUUUCAUUGCUGCUUCUCUUGGCGGAAAUAGGCUUCAGGGUUUCGCGCAACGCCCGGCCUCCGGAACCAGAGGUGGAAUUCUUCUGCUAUGGGAUGACAACCUUCUUGAGAUUACCGACAUCGCCACCUCAACCUUUUGCCUCUUUGCCAUGGUGCGGAUUCGUGCUUCUGACUCCUCCUUCAAAAUCACGUCUGUCUAUGGCCCCACUGACAACGCCUCCAAAGAUGCCUUCUUUGCGGAGCUGCUUAGCCAGAAGCCACCCUUGGGCGUGGCUUGGCUCGCCACUGGCGACUUCAACCAAAUUUACCGUGCCAGGGACAAAAACAAGCGCAAUGUUAACCGCAGCAGAAUCAACCGCUUUCGUGCCGCUUUGCAAUCUUGCGAGCUCAAGGAGAUCCAUCUCCAGAAUAGGCGCUUCACCUGGAGCAAUGAGAGGACAAAUCCCACCCUAUGCAAGCUUGACUCAUUCUUCUGCAAUGCUGAGUGGGACACCACC